AGGGGUUUCCAGGCCAAGACUUUGGGGUUGACUGUGGCAUCUACAUGUUGAUGUUAGACAUGCCGAAAUUGUGGAAAUGGUGGUGCCUGCUGCUAAUGGAAAACUUCGAUCUCCGAAGUUAUGGGAAGGUAUUUGCACACUGGACAAAGGAAUCAGAGGCUGUGCUGAGAGGUGAACAUGCACCUGUAUUCAGACUAAGAAAGCGCAAAUCUGUGGAACUUAGCCUGAAACCAGCAGAAGGGAUAUGCUGGAUGGAGACAACAUAGAAUCCAAGGAGCCAUUCCUCUUUGGUUUUCAGGUCCAAGAGGACAUGGAAUUAUUUUUACAGGCCUGUGUUGACCAGCGGGGCCUUCGGGUUAAUGCUGUCUGUUAUAAGAAUGAUUAAAUUACUGGCACAUGAGUGUGUUGAUUGAUUAUUAUUUUUUUAUUUCAUCCUGUUUGUUGUUGCCGUCUAAAUAAAUUUAACAGUUGAUUAAAUAUAAUUAUUACAUGUCGAUCAUCAUUUAUACA
Molecule: long non-coding RNA, 510 nt
Organism: Brienomyrus brachyistius
Lineage: Eukaryota; Metazoa; Chordata; Actinopteri; Osteoglossiformes; Mormyridae
Exons: 4
Source: RefSeq, a predicted model, not a curated record